UACGUAGGUGACAAGCGUUGUCCGGAUUUACUGGGCGUAAAGGGCGCGUAGGCGGCUUGGCAAGUGGAUGGUGAAAUCCCUCGGCUUAACCGAGGAACUGCCGUCCAAACUGCUUCGCUUGAGACCGGGAGAGGUGAGUGGAAUUCCCAGUGUAGCGGUGAAAUGCGUAGAUAUUGGGAGGAACACCAGUGGCGAAGGCGGCUCACUGGACCGGUACUGACGCUGAUGCGCGAAAGCGUGGGGAGCAAACGGG
RNAcentral lists this ribosomal RNA (253 nucleotides) under uncultured bacterium. RNAcentral describes it as "partial 16S ribosomal RNA". It matches the Rfam family "Bacterial small subunit ribosomal RNA", at positions 524 to 776 of the family's 1533-position model. The record is from RNAcentral.